Long non-coding RNA from Melopsittacus undulatus (budgerigar), 1820 nucleotides. RefSeq lists it as uncharacterized. Lineage: Eukaryota; Metazoa; Chordata; Aves; Psittaciformes; Psittaculidae. The record is from RefSeq and is a predicted model, not a curated record. The transcript is spliced from 2 exons.
AGGAAUUUUCUGCAACCUUUUGUAACCCUCCAUCAGAAAAGCCACAUGAUAACCAAAGAAAUAUGCCAGAAGGCAAAGCUUUGCCAUUACUAUAGAACUAGAGGUAAUGAAUAGUGAAAUACAUGGGCUUUAAUCAAGGAGAUGGACUGAAAUCAGGCUCUGAAAAGUUGUGUAUGAACAUCUAAAUUGCUUACUAAAAUUCUGACUGUGCAUGUACCUACAGCCAAAUAUCAAAGCAGAUAGAGGGUGUCUGAAAAAGACUAGCAUACCCUGAGCUGCUGAUUGCAAUCAGGUUCUGUAUAACCUUUUAAAAGCAAAUGCUUAUCAAAAUUCAGUUCAUGUUUUGGGCCUAUCUAAUGUUUCUGUCUUCUUAGAUGAAUAUAACCUGAAGGCAGACACUCUGAACCAAGAAAAGGAUCCAGACUGAGAUGCGACUGAUUUCACUGGAUCUGGUGCACUAGAAAACAGUCCUGACUGCAGAAGGCUUCCACAUGCUUCAGCUGUUUACAUCUCUGGAUCAAGUUAACCCUUCUGGCUUCAAAUGAAUUGGAACCAUCUCAGACUAUACCCUGUCUUCUCUGACUUUUAGGAGCUGCAGCAGAUAAUACAGGGCAAUAACAUUUCAACCAUUUCGAGCACUAUUUAUUUGACCAUGGCCUAACUUAUCCUUCCACUUUUUCUGCUUUUGAAAAUAUCUAGCUUUAAUUUUACCCAAGAUUGCUAUACAAAAGCUUUCUAUAAAAUGAUCCCUCAGCAAAGCCAGGAGCAAAGACAAAGCAAGAUGGACGAUGAUCUUACAAAAUCUUUUCCAACGUAGUUGAUUCUAUGGUUAUAUGAGGAGGAACAAAGGAAAAAAAAAAAGAGAGGAAAUAAUUUGGUAACAAGGAAGGGGAUGAGGAGAAAAAAACUGUUCAGAACCUCUGUGGUUAAGUCACUGCUGGGAGAGAGGAAAUGCUGUGCCGUUCCCAGAACUGCUUUUGUAUUUUCACAUGAAAAUACAGAAGAAUAAUAAAAUUAAAUACAAGUUAAAUAGAAGUUAUGUAUCAACAGGCAAUGAAAUACAAUGUGAUUCCUUCUGCCUGCCAAGUGAGUUUCUUGCCCACAAGCUGAAAAAGUCUUGCUCACCUUUACAGUCUUCCCUCUCCAGUCACUGCAGCCAGCAGAUCACUUCCUUCCCGGGGGAAACACUUGCCAGGCAGCUGGAGUGCUUUCCUGGAAAAAAAAAGUGAACCUCAAUUUCUAACUUUCUGGAUAAAUGUUGUUGUCAAGAGGCUAUUAGACAAGAAGUACAGCAUAGCACCUUGCUCUGCUGCUCUAGUGGUGUCAGUCGGAGCUGAGAGCCCCAGGGAGGUGAAGGCAAAGUAAAAUCUAUGCUCACAGCUCUGGAGAGGGGAGGAGGGGAGAAAGUAUUUAAAGAUUAUACCCUAUAUCUCAUUUCAGGUAUCUGAUUUCUCUUUUUAGGACUUACACCUACGAAAUAGCCUGUGAUUAAGGCUAGAAUCACUGGAAAGCAACAUAUUAAGCAAGAUCUAAAAGCUAUUGCAUGGUGGACUAUGAUUCCUGUAUUCUGAAAUCUCACCUACACAAAAAGGAUUACCAAAGGCUUUCCCACAUGGGUACAGAAAUAGCUUUUCUCUCCCCUCCCCCUUCAGUAAAAAUAAAUAAAUAAACAGUUUCCUUGGGUAUCUGACAGCUUGACUAAUUGUGAACAAGUUUUCAAAUGAGGAAUGGAACAGCAAGAUUUUCAAUCAAGUCUCACCACAGUGUAUAACUUUAAUUUGAAAUUUAUUGGAAAUAAAUUAGUGCAAUUAUCCACUGAA